GGCUCAGAACGAACGCUGGCGGCGUGCCUAACACAUGCAAGUCGAGCGAGAAAGUCCGCAAGGAUGAGUAAAGCGGCGCACGGGUGCGUAACACGUGGGUAAUCUUCCUUGAAGCCCGGAAUAACUCCCCGAAAGGGGUGCUAAUACCGGAUAAGACCACGGGAUCCUCGGAUCCUGAGGGAAAAGGCGGCCUCUGUACACAAGCUGUCACUUCAAGAUGAGCCCGCGGCCCAUCAGCUAGUUGGCGGGGUAAUGGCCCACCAAGGCUACGACGGGUAGCUGGUCUGAGAGGACGAUCAGCCACACUGGAACUGAGACACGGUCCAGACUCCUACGGGAGGCAGCAGUGGGGAAUCUUGCGCAAUGGGCGAAAGCCUGACGCAGCAACGCCGCGUGUGUGAUGAAGGUCUUCGGAUCGUAAAGCACUGUCGGGAGGGACGAAUAAGGUGGCGGCUAACAUCCGUCGCUGAUGACGGUACCUCCAAAGGAAGCACCGGCUAACUCUGUGCCAGCAGCCGCGGUAAUACAGAGGGUGCAAGCGUUGUUCGGAAUUAUUGGGCGUAAAGCGCGUGUAGGCGGCCAGGCAAGUUGGGUGUGAAAGCCCUCGGCUUAACCGAGGAAGUGCGCCCAAAACUACUUGGCUUGAGUACCGGAGAGGGUGGCGGAAUUCCCGGUGUAGAGGUGAAAUUCGUAGAUAUCGGGAGGAACACCAGUGGCGAAGGCGGCCACCUGGACGGAUACUGACGCUGAGACGCGAAAGCGUGGGGAGCAAACAGGAUUAGAUACCCUGGUAGUCCACGCUGUAAACGAUGAGCGCUAGGUGUUGUGGGUGUUGACCCCCGCAGUGCCGCAGCUAACGCAUUAAGCGCUCCGCCUGGGAAGUACGGCCGCAAGGCUAAAACUCAAAU
Molecule: ribosomal RNA, 908 nt
Filed under: uncultured bacterium
Lineage: Bacteria
Description: bacterial SSU rRNA
Rfam family: Bacterial small subunit ribosomal RNA
Source: RNAcentral